RNAcentral lists this transfer RNA (88 nucleotides) under Helianthus annuus (common sunflower). RNAcentral's name for it is "tRNA HanXRQr2_Chr06g0245981". It matches the Rfam family "tRNA". From Rfam's summary of the family: Transfer RNA (tRNA) molecules are approximately 80 nucleotides in length. Their secondary structure includes four short double-helical elements and three loops (D, anti-codon, and T loops). Lineage: Eukaryota; Viridiplantae; Streptophyta; Magnoliopsida; Asterales; Asteraceae. The record is from RNAcentral.
UCCAUCGUGGGGGUGGUGAAAAGGUAGACACGCGAGACUCAAAAUCUCGUGCUAAAGAGCGUGGAGGUUCGAGUCCUCUUCAAGGCAU